Molecule: long non-coding RNA, 890 nt
Filed under: Cyanistes caeruleus (blue tit)
Lineage: Eukaryota; Metazoa; Chordata; Aves; Passeriformes; Paridae
Description: lncRNA (ENSCCEG00000007647.1)
Source: RNAcentral
UAACCUGGACAGAUUGUUUGGAUCCAUCAGAGCUCCAACACAGAAGGAGAUGGAGGAAUAUUAUCCUCAUCACUGCCAGCACCACCACCUGCAGGAAUUAUUGCCCGCAGAGUGAAAGGAAUCCCUGCCAGGAUCUGAGAUACAAACAUGAGGACUUUGUAUCACUGUUACUUCCCAGUGAGACUGAUCAAGUAAAGGAAGUUUAUCUGUUCCUGAGAGAUGUGUAAGUCAGUCCCAGAGCCUUUUUGCUGGAGAUUAGGAAAGCUUGGCUUUAACCCAGGUUCAGGCAGCAUCCCACAUUGUGAAUUUGAAAGUUGGCUGGGCUUUGGAAUGAAGGUGCAGGAAACUUUGCGGACCUUGGAUGAAAAGUGCUGCAGUGUUUCCUAUGAGACAAAUCUUGGUUAUGUACUCAGACCAGAAAAUACCACAUCACAUGCUGGCACUCUUUAAGUGAUGGAUUUUUUCCUGUGCACAGUUUUUCUUUUCAUGAUAAACUUGGAAGCAAGUUCCACAGAAGCAGCUGGAGGCUGAAAACUAAGGUGAAUGUCAUAGCAAGGAUUUAUCAAAAGCAGGACUGACUGUAUUUUUGAAUGGAAUAUGCAGAGAGCAACAGAUUUUUAAACUAUCCUGGAGGUUAUAUGAGCAAAAAGACUGGUGCAUUCAGCAAUUUGAGUGGACAAGCUGCAAGCAGAGACCAAGAUGCAGCACUUGAGCCUCACAGUUCAGAAGCUUCAGAGCCAGCACCCUGCAGGAUUUUAUCUGCUGUGAUUUACAGGUUUCUAGUCCUGACUUCUGCUCACUUUGAAUGGAUGAAUGGGGGAGGACUAGCAGAGCCCAGGGGGCUUUUGGUGCUUAUGAAUAGUGGCAGGAAAAGAUCCCUUCCCACAUGA